This is a non-coding RNA of Aegilops tauschii subsp. strangulata, 342 nucleotides long. Lineage: Eukaryota; Viridiplantae; Streptophyta; Magnoliopsida; Poales; Poaceae. The record is from RefSeq and is a predicted model, not a curated record.
GGCCCCUCCCCGUGCGACCCCACCUGGCAGUGUCUCGGCGUUAUCCCCGCCCCAGGCCCGCGUCUAAAACGUAUUCGGCCCAAAGGCGCGUUCAGUUUUUCCUCCAGGGGCCUGUUUGCUGAAAAAAAUUCACCGAUAGGUCCCUGAGCUUCAACCCUUCGUAUCUCGACAACCGUAACCCCGAUUGAGCCCCCUCCGAGAGAGAACUAUUUCGGCAACUCUUUCUGCGAUCGUUUCACACUUCUUCCCGAAGUAUUUGUCGACCCCAGGCAAGCCAACCUCUUAUCAUGAGCCCCGAACUUGCAUGUUGACUUUGCUUGCACCCCAUGUGUGUGUUUAGUU